ACGUGGCUGGUUCAGUCAGUAGAGUGUGUGACUCUUGAUCUCAGAGCUCUGGGUUCGAGCCCCAUGUCAGGUG
This 73-nucleotide transfer RNA is filed under the name Mustela putorius furo (domestic ferret). It matches the Rfam family "tRNA". From Rfam's summary of the family: Transfer RNA (tRNA) molecules are approximately 80 nucleotides in length. Lineage: Eukaryota; Metazoa; Chordata; Mammalia; Carnivora; Mustelidae. The record is from Rfam by way of RNAcentral.